AGUGAACGCUGGCGGCAGGCCUAACACAUCCAUGUCGCGCGGAUUACGGGAGCUGGCUCCUCGAUUCAGCGGUGGACGGGUGAGUACUGCCUAGGAAACUGCCUGGUAGUGGGUGACCACGUUCCGUAAGGAACGCUAAUAACGCAUACGCACAACGUGAGAACGUUUGAGACCUUCGGGCCGUGCGCUAACAGAUUAGCCCAGGUCGGAUUAGCUAGUUGGUGGGGUAAUGGCGCACCAAGGCGACGAUCCGUAACUGGCCUGAGAGGAUGAUCAGUCACACUGGAACUGAGACACGGUCCAGACUCCUACGGGAGGCAGCAGUGGGGAAGAUUGGACAAUGGGCGAAAGCCUGAUCCAGCCAUGCCGCGUGUGUGAAGAAGGUCUUCGGAUUGUAAAGCACUUUAAGUCGGGAGGAAGGGCAGUAAGUUAAUACCUUGCUGUUUUGACGUUACCGACAGAAUAAGCACCGGCUAACUCUGUGCCAGCAGCCGCCGUAA
This 500-nucleotide ribosomal RNA is filed under the name uncultured bacterium. RNAcentral's name for it is "partial 16S ribosomal RNA". It matches the Rfam family "Bacterial small subunit ribosomal RNA", at positions 29 to 523 of the family's 1533-position model. The record is from RNAcentral.